GCAAGGUAAAUUGUACCGCCCAUUCCUUAAUUUUGGGUCGUCUUUCACUUCUAAUCUUAAACUUUAAAAACUCCUACGAAAAUCUUUUAUCUUGUUUUGUUUCAUAGAAACCCUUCUGAUCAUAUUCUGGUGGUUUCACUGAUGAAGCUGCUUACGUUGACAUGUCCAGGUGAAUUUUAAAAAUUAAAAAAAUUUCUCUCCUAUCAUUUCUUCUUCUAUGCCUUUUCCCUCUACCUCGCUUAUCCUUCACCCCCAUUCUCUCAUCCUCAUCCUCAUCCUCUUUCUCCGUUUUGUUAAUCACUUUCACUCUCUCUUCCUUUGCCAUUAUCACCACUCUUCCUAUUUCACUACCACCUGCAUUAAGGCGCAAUUUCCUCUUUUGCUCCAUUGCCAAACUGUAACAAUUGAUCUUACUUACAACUCAAAUCCACUACAAGUCAAAAAACUUACCACCCAAUUCCAAGUCACUUUUCCAAGCCAACACCUGAAGUUUGCCUCUGUCACUGCCCUGCUUUAGUUUUUUGGUAUAAUCAACCAAAAUUCUCUGGCCUUCAAUUGUCUCAGGAAAUGGGAUCUUGGCAAGCAAAUUCAGGUUUUU
This 598-nucleotide unclassified non-coding RNA is filed under the name Hevea brasiliensis (rubber tree). The record is from RNAcentral. Lineage: Eukaryota; Viridiplantae; Streptophyta; Magnoliopsida; Malpighiales; Euphorbiaceae.